This 365-nucleotide ribosomal RNA is filed under the name uncultured bacterium. RNAcentral describes it as "partial 16S ribosomal RNA". It matches the Rfam family "Bacterial small subunit ribosomal RNA", at positions 338 to 701 of the family's 1533-position model. The record is from RNAcentral.
CCUACGGGUGGCAGCAGUGAGGAAUAUUGGUCAAGGGGCGGAAGCCUGAACCAGCCAAGUAGCGUGCGGGAUGAAGGCCCUACGGGUCGUAAACCGCUUUUGCACGGGGAUAACACACGCCACGUGUGGAGGUCUGCAGGUACCGUGCGAAUAAGGGCCGGCUAAUUCCGUGCCAGCAGCCGCGGUAAUACGGAAGGCCCGAGCGUUAUCCGGAUGCAUUGGGCUUAAAGGGAGCGUAGGCGGGCGUUCAAGUCAGCUGUCAAAUCGCGCGGCUCAACCGCGCCCCGCAGUUGAAAAUGGCCGCCUUGCUUUCACAACAGGCAGGCGGCAUUCGUGGUGUAGCGGUGACCUGCCUAGAUAUCACG